UCGUUUUAUCGCCAUCGUGAACUUUUCCACGUAGAUAAUACCGUAGAACAGGUAGAAACUUUCCGCAUUUGGUCGUCGGUUAUCGAGCGAAAUGUUUUCACCAGCUACGCUCUUGUUUUUCCUCUCAUCUGUUGUUCUUUGUCUAACAGCAGAAUCCACGGAAACUACAACGAAGAACACAGUUGUCACGUUAUCAGACUCGGAGAUUCUUCUAACAGUAACGGCUUGUACGACUGCGCCCGUAUUAGUCGUUCUUCUUCCAAUGCUCAUUUACUACAAAUUUUGUAAAAGCGACUUGCUAAAUCAAGUCGUAUAGAGAUGAGCAUUGACCAACAGCACGGGGACGACACGACCAUCGUAAUGUAAGAUGUUAUAAAAUGUCUAAAUGCGUAAAUACGUAAUGUUAUGGAAAAUGUAAAAUGAUGUAAAAUACAGAUCUCAAUUUUCAUAAAA
Long non-coding RNA from Bombus pascuorum, 453 nucleotides. RefSeq lists it as uncharacterized. NCBI's taxonomy places the organism in Eukaryota, Metazoa, Arthropoda, Insecta, Hymenoptera, Apidae. The record is from RefSeq and is a predicted model, not a curated record. The transcript is spliced from 3 exons.